This 492-nucleotide ribosomal RNA is filed under the name uncultured bacterium. RNAcentral describes it as "partial 16S ribosomal RNA". It matches the Rfam family "Bacterial small subunit ribosomal RNA", at positions 29 to 507 of the family's 1533-position model. The record is from RNAcentral.
AGUGAACGCUGGCGGCAGGCCUAACACAUGCAAGUCGAACGGCAGCUCCGUAAUUGCUUGCUCUUACGGGUGGCGAGUGGCGGACGGUUGAUGUAUAUAUCGGAAUCUUCUUUUUCGUGUGGGAUAAUGUAGGGAAACUUACUCUAAUACAGCAUUCGACCUAUGGGUGAAAGCAGGGGAUCUUCUGACCUUGUGCGAUUGAAUGUGCCGAUGUAGGAUUAGCUAGUUGGCGGGGUAAAGGCCCACCAAGGCGACGAUCCGUAGCUGGUCUGAGAGGAUGAACAGCCACACUGGAACUGAGACACGGUCCAGACUCCGAGGGGAGGCAGCAGUGGAGAAUAUUGGGGGAUGGACGCAAGGCUGAUCCAGCCAUACCGCGGAAGUGAAGAAGGACUUCGGGUGGUAGAGCACUUUUGUUGGGAAAGAAAAGCAGCAGGUUAAUACCGCGCUGUUCUGACGGUACCCAAAGAAGAAGCACCGGCUAACUUCGUG